This 498-nucleotide ribosomal RNA is filed under the name uncultured bacterium. RNAcentral describes it as "partial 16S ribosomal RNA". It matches the Rfam family "Bacterial small subunit ribosomal RNA", at positions 28 to 507 of the family's 1533-position model. The record is from RNAcentral.
GACGAACGCUGGCGGCGUGCCUAAUACAUGCAAGUCGAGCGGACGGAUGGGAGCUUGCUCCCAGACCGUCAGCGGCGGACGGGUGAGUAACACGUGGGCAACCUGCCUGUAAGACUGGGAUAACUCCGGGAAACCGGGGCUAAUACCGGAUAACUCUUUCCCUCACAUGAGGGAAAGCUGAAAGAUGGCAUCUCGCUAUCACUUACAGAUGGGCCCGCGGCGCAUUAGCUAGUUGGUGAGGUAACGGCUAACCAAGGCGACGAUGCGUAGCCGACCUGAGAGGGUGAUCGGCCACACUGGGACUGAGACACGGCCCAGACUCCUACGGGAGGCAGCAGUAGGGAAUCUUCCGCAAUGGACGAAAGUCUGACGGAGCAACGCCGCGUGAGUGAUGAAGGUUUUCGGAUCGUAAAACUCUGUUGUCAGGGAAGAACAAGUACCGGAGUAACUGCCGGUACCUUGACGGUACCUGACCAGAAAGCCACGGCUAACUACGUG